AACUUUGCACAGUGGCAGUUUCGUAGCCAAUGAGGUUUAUCUGAGGCACAAUUAUUGCUAAUAGAAAAAAAAUAUCAAACCCAAAUGUGGGGCAGUCUAUAAAACAGGCACCAAUAAUCCUGAAAACUGUCAAGGUUAUAAAAAG
RNAcentral lists this small nuclear RNA (145 nucleotides) under Myotis davidii. RNAcentral describes it as "U4 spliceosomal RNA". It matches the Rfam family "U4 spliceosomal RNA". From Rfam's summary of the family: U4 small nuclear RNA (U4 snRNA) is a component of the major U2-dependent spliceosome. The structure of U4 snRNA from yeast and human has been reported. U4 snRNA presents a k-turn RNA motif in the 5p-SL related to recognition of Snu13 protein. Lineage: Eukaryota; Metazoa; Chordata; Mammalia; Chiroptera; Vespertilionidae. The record is from Rfam by way of RNAcentral.